GACGAACGCUGGCGGCGUGCUUAACACAUGCCAGUCGAACGGAAAGGCCCUGCUUUUGUGGGGUGCUCGAGUGGCGAACGGGUGAGUAACACGUGAGUAACCUGCCCUUGACUUUGGGAUAACUUCAGGAAACUGGGGCUAAUACCGGAUAGGAGCUCCUGCUGCAUGGUGGGGGUUGGAAAGUUUCGGCGGUUGGGGAUGGACUUGCGGCUUAUCAGCUUGUUGGUGGGGUAGUGGCUUACCAAGGCUUUGACGGGUAGCCGGCCUGAGAGGGUGACCGGCCACAUUGGGACUGAGAUACGGCCCAGACUCCUACGGGAGGCAGCAGUGGGGAAUAUUGCACAAUGGGCGGAAGCCUGAUGCAGCAACGCCGCGUGCGGGAUGACGGCCUUCGGGUUGUAAACCGCUUUCGCCUGUGACGAAGCGUGAGUGACGGUAAUGGGUAAAGAAGCACCGGCUAACUACGUG
This 468-nucleotide ribosomal RNA is filed under the name uncultured bacterium. Its description in RNAcentral is "partial 16S ribosomal RNA". It matches the Rfam family "Bacterial small subunit ribosomal RNA", at positions 28 to 507 of the family's 1533-position model. The record is from RNAcentral.